RNAcentral lists this unclassified non-coding RNA (454 nucleotides) under Bombus terrestris (buff-tailed bumblebee). RNAcentral's name for it is "misc RNA ENSBTSG00005020600.1". Lineage: Eukaryota; Metazoa; Arthropoda; Insecta; Hymenoptera; Apidae. The record is from RNAcentral.
UGAAUUUGAAAUAUCAAUAAUAAUUAUAAUUGUAAUGGUGUCUAUAAAAUCAAGCUCUCGUUAACUGGUCUCCAGUUUUUACAACCCUCCUUGGAAAAUCAUGUUCUCAACAGGUUGUCAAGUUACAUGGCGACCUAUGAAUUUUAAAAUUACUAUCGUGUAUAUCCAGAUGAGAGGCAUCAGCAGACGAACGUGAAUGAAGGUUGUAGGGCUGGCACGAGUCGAAGAACGAAUGCGCGAGUGUGUUUGAAACGUACCCGUCUGAUGGCUUUUGUUGGACGAGUUCUAUACAAUGCCGCGACACGAAAGUCGUGCGACACAUACCGGACGCUUUUGUCAUAAAAAUUCGACUCGGUGAACUUGGACGUCUCGACAAGCAGCUUUAUCUUCGACCGCCGUUUUACCGACGUCGUUCAGGACGACUUAUCGAUCCCCUCCGGCAGUGAUCGUGAAG